RNAcentral lists this ribosomal RNA (414 nucleotides) under uncultured bacterium. RNAcentral's name for it is "bacterial SSU rRNA". It matches the Rfam family "Bacterial small subunit ribosomal RNA", at positions 351 to 782 of the family's 1533-position model. The record is from RNAcentral.
GCAGUGGGGAAUAUUGGACAAUGGGCGCAAGCCUGAUCCAGCCAUGCCGCGUGUGUGAUGAAGGCCUUAGGGUUGUAAAGCACUUUCACCGAUGAAGAUAAUGACGGUAGUCGGAGAAGAAGCCCCGGCUAACUUCGUGCCAGCAGCCGCGGUAAUACGAAGGGGGCUAGCGUUGUUCGGAAUUACUGGGCGUAAAGCGCACGUAGGCGGAUAUUUAAGUCAGGGGUGAAAUCCCAGAGCUCAACUCUGGAACUGCCUUUGAUACUGGGUAUCUUGAGUAUGGAAGAGGUAAGUGGAAUUGCGAGUGUAGAGGUGAAAUUCGUAGAUAUUCGCAGGAACACCAGUGGCGAAGGCGGCUUACUGGUCCAUUACUGACGCUGAGGUGCGAAAGCGUGGGGAGCAAACAGGAUUAGA